RNAcentral lists this ribosomal RNA (497 nucleotides) under uncultured bacterium. RNAcentral describes it as "partial 16S ribosomal RNA". It matches the Rfam family "Bacterial small subunit ribosomal RNA", at positions 28 to 507 of the family's 1533-position model. The record is from RNAcentral.
GAUGAACGCUGGCGGCGUGCCUAAUACAUGCAAGUCGAGCGAACAGACGAGGAGCUUGCUCCUCUGACGUUAGCGGCGGACGGGCGAGUAACACGUGGAUAACCUACCUAUAAGACUGGGAUAACUUCGGGAAACCGGAGCUAAUACCGGAUAAUAUAUUGAACCGCAUGGUUCAAUAGUGAAAGACGGUUUUGCUGUCACUUAUAGAUGGAUCCGCGCCGCAUUAGCUAGUUGGUAAGGUAACGGCUUACCAAGGCGACGAUGCGUAGCCGACCUGAGAGGGUGAUCGGCCACACUGGAACGGAGACACGGUCCAGACGCCUACGGGAGGCAGCAGUAGGGAAUCGUCCGCAAUGGGCGAAAGCCUGACGGAGCAACGCCGCGUGAGUGAUGAAGGUCUUCGGAUCGUAAAACUCUGUUAUUAGGGAAGAACAAAUGUGUAAGUAACUAUGCACGUCUUGACGGUACCGAAUCAGAAAGCCACGGCUAACUACGUG